UUCAGCGGAUGGUCCACACCCUGAUCC
Molecule: small RNA, 27 nt
Filed under: Bombyx mori (domestic silkworm)
Lineage: Eukaryota; Metazoa; Arthropoda; Insecta; Lepidoptera; Bombycidae
Description: ovarian small RNA-37026
Source: RNAcentral